This 74-nucleotide transfer RNA is filed under the name Chloroparvula japonica. Its description in RNAcentral is "tRNA-Met". It matches the Rfam family "tRNA". Rfam says of the family: Transfer RNA (tRNA) molecules are approximately 80 nucleotides in length. Their secondary structure includes four short double-helical elements and three loops (D, anti-codon, and T loops). The record is from RNAcentral. Lineage: Eukaryota; Viridiplantae; Chlorophyta; Chloropicophyceae; Chloropicales; Chloropicaceae.
GACGAAGUAGUUCAGUUCGGUAGAACAACGGGAUCAUAAUCCGUAUGUCGGGGGUUCAAGUCCCUCUUUCGUCA